CUUUAUGCUCCCUCGCGACUAAUGGAAACACAGAAAAAUUUUAUGUGCUUUCAUUAGCCGCGCGAACCUCAGCAAUAAAGACUAUUAAAAGCAACAAUACAUUACUUUCUGGUUAAUUGCUGCUUUUGAGUUGAAAAAAGGGGCCUCUGGAGGCCCCUUUUU
RNAcentral lists this small RNA (162 nucleotides) under Mangrovibacter sp. MFB070. RNAcentral describes it as "SraG RNA". It matches the Rfam family "SraG RNA". From Rfam's summary of the family: This RNA was discovered in E. coli during a large scale screen. Evidence was found for specific cleavage of this RNA. The record is from Rfam by way of RNAcentral. Lineage: Bacteria; Pseudomonadati; Pseudomonadota; Gammaproteobacteria; Enterobacterales; Enterobacteriaceae.